CAGUCGUACGCUUCUUUUUCCACCGGAGCUUGCUCCACCGGAAAAAGAGGAGUGGCGAACGGGUGAGUAACACGUGGGUAACCUGCCCAUCAGAAGGGGAUAACACUUGGAAACAGGUGCUAAUACCGUAUAACAAUCGAAACCGCAUGGUUUUGAUUUGAAAGGCGCUUUCGGGUGUCGCUGAUGGAUGGACCCGCGGUGCAUUAGCUAGUUGGUGAGGUAACGGCUUACCAAGGCCACGAUGCAUAGCCGACCUGAGAGGGUGAUCGGCCACAUUGGGACUGAGACACGGCCCAAACUCCUACGGGAGGCAGCAGUAGGGAAUCUUCGGCAAUGGACGAAAGUCUGACCGAGCAACGCCGCGUGAGUGAAGAAGGUUUUCGGAUCGUAAAACUCUGUUGUUAGAGAAGAACAAGGAUGAGAGUAACUGUUCAUCCCUUGACGGUAUCUAACCAGAAAGCCACGGCUAACUACGUGCCAGCAGCCGCGGUAAUACGUAGGUGGCAAGCGUUGUCCGGAUUUAUUGGGCGUAAAGCGAGCGCAGGCGGUUUCUUAAGUCUGAUGUGAAAGCCCCCGGCUCAACCGGGGAGGGUCAUUGGAAACUGGGAGACUUGAGUGCAGAAGAGGAGAGUGGAAUUCCAUGUGUAGCGGUGAAAUGCGUAGAUAUAUGGAGGAACACCAGUGGCGAAGGCGGCUCUCUGGUCUGUAACUGACGCUGAGGCUCGAAAGCGUGGGGAGCAAACAGGAUUAGAUACCCUGGU
RNAcentral lists this ribosomal RNA (761 nucleotides) under uncultured bacterium. RNAcentral describes it as "bacterial SSU rRNA". It matches the Rfam family "Bacterial small subunit ribosomal RNA", at positions 59 to 791 of the family's 1533-position model. The record is from RNAcentral.